UAUCAGUUUUGAAAUUGCAGAAGGGCAAUCAAAUGCCUGAAGAUUACCCCAGAUCUUUUAGAGAAGCAGCUGCAAUUUUCCAGCAUGCUCAAGUGAAUUUAGGAUGGAACUGAUGAAUUAAAUACUUAUCUACACAAGUAUCGCAUAGAGUUGGAUCAACAUCUUGGUGCUCUUGUGGGGAGAUAUAUAAGGAAGCUGAGAAGUUUGCUUAUUAGAAUGGAGCAAAGGUGGCUGUUGUUUAUGGUGGAGCGCCAAUGGGUCAGCAGGUUUGGGUCUCUGCAAGCUCACUGGCCAUUCCGUUUUCUAUGACCACUUCUAUGAUUCGGGUGAUUCCAUUCAUGAUCAGAUUGUGAAA
This is a long non-coding RNA of Rosa chinensis, 355 nucleotides long. RefSeq lists it as uncharacterized. Lineage: Eukaryota; Viridiplantae; Streptophyta; Magnoliopsida; Rosales; Rosaceae. The transcript has 3 exons. The record is from RefSeq and is a predicted model, not a curated record.